UGACGCAAAUUUCCAAUCCCUUUAGGAAGUCUGGAAAGACACUUACAUCCUUCAAGGUCUAGAAUUUUCAAGUUAUCCAAAGAGCAAAUUGAAUCAGGCAAUUCCUCAACUUUGCUAUGACUUAAAUCAAUCAAUCUUAACUUAUGCAAAUUUCCAAUCCCUUCAGGAAGUCUAGAACAACACUCACAUCCUUCAAGAUUUAGAGUUUUCAAGUUAUCCAAAGUGCAAAUUGAAUCAGGUAACUCCUCAACUUUGCUCCGACUUAAAUCAAUCUUGCUUAGGUGAUGCAAAUUUCCAAUCCCUUCAGGAAGUCUAGAAAGACACUCACAUCCUUCAAGGUCUAGAAUUUUCAAGUUAUCCAAAGAGCACAUUGAAUCAGGUAACUCCUCAACUUUGGUCCCA
Ipomoea nil (Japanese morning glory) is the source of this 402-nucleotide long non-coding RNA. RefSeq lists it as uncharacterized. NCBI's taxonomy places the organism in Eukaryota, Viridiplantae, Streptophyta, Magnoliopsida, Solanales, Convolvulaceae. The record is from RefSeq and is a predicted model, not a curated record. The transcript has 3 exons.